RNAcentral lists this ribosomal RNA (396 nucleotides) under uncultured bacterium. RNAcentral's name for it is "partial 16S ribosomal RNA". It matches the Rfam family "Bacterial small subunit ribosomal RNA", at positions 523 to 918 of the family's 1533-position model. The record is from RNAcentral.
AUACGUAGGUUGCAAGCGUUGUCCGGAUUUACUGGGUGUAAAGGGCGUGUAGGCGGAGAUGCAAGUCAGGAGUGAACUCUAGGGGCUCAACCCCUAACCUGCUUUUGAAACUGUAUCCCUUGAGUAUCGGAGAGGCAGGCGGAAUUUCUAGUGUAGCGGUGAAAUGCGUAGAGAUUAGGAGGAACACCAGUGGCGAAGGCGGCCUGCUGGACGACAACUGACGCUGAGGCGCGAAAGCGUGGGGAGCAAACAGGAUUAGAUACCCUGGUAGUCCACGCUGUAAACGAUGAAUACUAGGUGUGGGGGGACUGACCCCCUCCGUGCCGCAGUUAACACAAUAAGUAUUCCACCUGGGGAGUACGAUCGCAAGAUUGAAACUCAAAUGAAUUGACGGGG